GACGAACGCUGGCGGCGUGCUUAACACAUGCAAGUCGAACGGGAUUUAGUAAACAGAAGCCUCGGUGGAAGAUUACUAAUGAGAGUGGCGAACGGGUGAGUAACGCGUGAGCAACCUGCCUAUGACAGUGGGAUAGCCUCGGGAAACCGGGAUUAAUACCGCAUAAAAUCGUAGAAACACAUGUUUCAACGGUCAAAGAUUUAUCGGUCAUAGAUGGGCUCGCGUCUGAUUAGCUAGUUGGUGAGAUAACAGCCCACCAAGGCGACGAUCAGUAGCCGGUCUGAGAGGAUGAACGGCCACAUUGGAACUGAGACACGGUCCAAACUCCUACGGGAGGCAGCAGUGGGGAAUAUUGCACAAUGGGGGAAACCCUGAUGCAGCGACGCCGCGUGAACGAAGAAGGUAUUCGUAUCGUAAAGUUCUGUCCUAUGGGAAGAUAAUGACAGUACCAUAGAAGAAAGCUCCGGCUAAAUACGUGCCAGCAGCCGCGGUAAUACGUAUGGACCGAGCGUUGUCCGGAAUCAUUGGGCGUAAAGGGUACGUAGGCGGCCUAGUAAGUUAGAAGUGAAAUAAUAUAGCUCAACUAUAUAAAGCUUUUAAAACUGUUAGGCUUGAGAGAUGAAAGGGAAAGUGGAAUUCCUAGUGUAGCGGUGAAAUGCGCAGAUAUUAGGAAGAAUACCGGUGGCGAAGGCGACUUUCUGGUCAUCAUCUGACGCUGAGGUACGAAAGCGUGGGUAGCAAACAGG
This 746-nucleotide ribosomal RNA is filed under the name uncultured Finegoldia sp. RNAcentral describes it as "bacterial SSU rRNA". It matches the Rfam family "Bacterial small subunit ribosomal RNA", at positions 28 to 776 of the family's 1533-position model. The record is from RNAcentral. Lineage: Bacteria; Bacillati; Bacillota; Tissierellia; Tissierellales; Peptoniphilaceae.